AACGUACGCUGGCGGCACGCCUAACACAUGCAAGUCGAACGAAGUAGCAAUACUUAGUGGCAGACGGGUGAGUAACAUGUAGGUAUCUGCCCUUUGGCCUGGAAUAACACGAGGAAACUCGUGCUAAUACCGGAUAAGUCUUUACGGAGAAAGCUUUAUGCACCGUUGGAUGAGCCUGCACUUGAUUAGUUUGUUGGUGGGGUAAUGGCCUACCAAGACUGUGAUCAAUAGCUGAUUUGAGAGGAUGAUCAGCCACAUUGGGACUGAGACACGGCCCAAACUCCUACGGGAGGCAGCAGUGGGGAAUCUUGCACAAUGGAGGAAACUCUGAUGCAGCGAUGCCGCGUGAGUGAAGAAGGCCCUUGGGUUGUAAAGCUCUUUCGUCGGGGAAGAAAAUGACUGUACCCGAAUAAGAAGGUCCGGCUAACUUCGUGCCAGCAGCCGCGGUAAUACGAAGGGACCUAGCGUAGUUCGGAAUUACUGGGCUUAAAGAGUUCGUAGGUGGUUGAAAAAGUUGGUGGUGAAAUCCCAGAGCUUAACUCUGGAACUGCCAUCAAAACUUUUCAGCUAGAGUAUGAUAGAGGAAAGCAGAAUUUCUAGUGUAGAGGUGAAAUUCGUAGAUAUUAGAAAGAAUACCAAUUGCGAAGGCAGCUUUCUGGAUCAUUACUGACACUGAGGAACGAAAGCAUGGGUAGCGAAGAGGAUUAGAUACCCUCGUAGUCCAUGCCGUAAACGAUGUGUGUUAGACGUUGGAAAUUUAUUUUCAGUGUCGCAGCGAAAGCGAUAAACACACCGCCUGGGGAGUACGACCGCAAGGUUA
Molecule: ribosomal RNA, 820 nt
Filed under: uncultured marine bacterium
Lineage: Bacteria
Description: bacterial SSU rRNA
Rfam family: Bacterial small subunit ribosomal RNA
Source: RNAcentral